Molecule: long non-coding RNA, 361 nt
Filed under: Homo sapiens (human)
Lineage: Eukaryota; Metazoa; Chordata; Mammalia; Primates; Hominidae
Description: non-protein coding lnc-CPXCR1-1:1
Source: RNAcentral
GUUGGAUGUGAUAGCUUUCAUUGGCAGGCUACAAUUAUAGGACCUCAUUACAGCCUGUAUCAAGGUGGGUGUGUUCUUCUUGACAGUUCAUUUUCAUUCAGACUACUCCUUCAAACCACCUAAGGUUGCAUUUAUUACAAGAAUUUAUCAUCCAAACAUUUAAGUAAUGAGACCAUUGGUCUCAGUAUUCUAAGAUCACUGUGGUCUUCUGCUUUAACAUUUUUGAAGUUAUUUUUACAUCAAUUUGUUCACUGUUAUGUGAUCCAAAUCCAGAAACCCCCUAGUGCUAGAGAUUGCAAGGACCUAUAAAACAGACAAAAUAAUAACAGAAUGUUUUGGAAAUAGACUGAGAAGUACAUCA